This 446-nucleotide ribosomal RNA is filed under the name uncultured bacterium. RNAcentral describes it as "partial 16S ribosomal RNA". It matches the Rfam family "Bacterial small subunit ribosomal RNA", at positions 338 to 795 of the family's 1533-position model. The record is from RNAcentral.
CCUACGGGAGGCUGCAGUCGAGAAUCAUUCACAAUGGGGGAAACCCUGAUGGUGCGACGCCGCGUGGGGGAAUGAAGGUCUUCGGAUUGUAAACCCCUGUCAUGUGGGAGCAAAUUAAAAAGAUAGUACCACAAGAGGAAGAGACGGCUAACUCUGUGCCAGCAGCCGCGGUAAUACAGAGGUCUCAAGCGUUGUUCGGAAUCACUGGGCGUAAAGCGUGCGUAGGCUGUUUCGUAAGUCGUGUGUGAAAGGCGCGGGCUCAACCCGCGGACGGCACAUGAUACUGGGAGACUGGAGUAAUGGAGGGGGAACCGGAAGUCUCGGUGUAGCAGUGAAAUGCGUAGAUAUCGAGAGGAACACUCGUGGCGAAGGCGGGUUCCUGGACAUUAACUGACGCUGAGGCACGAAGGCCAGGGGAGCGAACGGGAUUAGAUACCCUAGUAGUC